AACGAACGCUGGCGGCAUGCCUAACACAUGCAAGUCGAACGAGACCUUCGGGUCUAGUGGCGCACGGGUGCGUAACGCGUGGGAACCUGCCCUUAGGUUAGGAAUAACUCCCCGAAAGGGGUGCUAAUACCGGAUAAUGUCUUCGGACCAAAGAUUUAUCGCCUUUGGAUGGGCCCGCGUUGGAUUAGCUAGUUGGUAGGGUAAAAGCCUACCAAGGCGACGAUCCAUAGCUGGUCUGAGAGGAUGAUCAGCCACACUGGGACUGAGACACGGCCCAGACUCCUACGGGAGGCAGCAGUGGGGAAUAUUGGACAAUGGGCGAAAGCCUGAUCCAGCAAUGCCGCGUGAGUGAUGAAGGCCUUAGGGUUGUAAAGCUCUUUUACCCGGGAUGAUAAUGACAGUACCGGGAGAAUAAGCUCCGGCUAACUCCGUG
RNAcentral lists this ribosomal RNA (433 nucleotides) under uncultured bacterium. RNAcentral's name for it is "partial 16S ribosomal RNA". It matches the Rfam family "Bacterial small subunit ribosomal RNA", at positions 29 to 507 of the family's 1533-position model. The record is from RNAcentral.